AAUGCUUGCUCUCUGACGUUAGCGGCGGACGGGUGAGUAACACGUGGAUAACCUACCUAUAAGACUGGGAUAACUUCGGGAAACCGGAGCUAAUACCGGAUAAUAUAUUGAACCGCAUGGUUCAAUAGUGAAAGACGGUUUUGCUGUCACUUAUAGAUGGAUCCGCGCCGCAUUAGCUAGUUGGUAAGGUAACGGCUUACCAAGGCAACGAUGCGUAGCCGACCUGAGAGGGUGAUCGGCCACACUGGAACUGAGACACGGUCCAGACUCCUACGGGAGGCAGCAGUAGGGAAUCUUCCGCAAUGGGCGAAAGCCUGACGGAGCAACGCCGCGUGAGUGAUGAAGGUCUUCGGAUCGUAAAACUCUGUUAUUAGGGAAGAACAAAUGUGUAAGUAACUAUGCACGUCUUGACGGUACCUAAUCAGAAAGCCACGGCUAACUACGUGCCAGCAGCCGCGGUAAUUAA
RNAcentral lists this ribosomal RNA (466 nucleotides) under Staphylococcus epidermidis. Its description in RNAcentral is "bacterial SSU rRNA". It matches the Rfam family "Bacterial small subunit ribosomal RNA", at positions 75 to 525 of the family's 1533-position model. The record is from RNAcentral. Lineage: Bacteria; Bacillati; Bacillota; Bacilli; Caryophanales; Staphylococcaceae.